This 384-nucleotide ribosomal RNA is filed under the name fish environmental sample. Its description in RNAcentral is "SSU rRNA". It matches the Rfam family "Eukaryotic small subunit ribosomal RNA", at positions 587 to 972 of the family's 1831-position model. The record is from RNAcentral. Lineage: Eukaryota; Metazoa; Chordata.
AGCUCCAAUAGCGUAUAUUAAAGUUGUUGCAGUUAAAAAGCUCGUAGUUGGAUUUCUGGUGGGAGCGAUCGGUCUGGCGCUUAGCGCGAGUACUUGCAUCGUCUCCGGCCAUCCUUGGGGAGAGUCUGUCUGGCAUUAAGUUGUCGGGCAGAGGAUCCUCAUCGUUUACUGUGAAAAAAUUAGAGUGUUCAAAGCAGGCUUAUGCCGUUGAAUAUAUUAGCAUGGAAUAAUAAGAUAGGACUUUGGUACUAUUUUGUUGGUUUGCGCACCAAAGUAAUGAUUAAUAGGGACAGUUGGGGGUAUUCGUAUUCCGUUGUCAGAGGUGAAAUUCUUGGAUUUACGGAAGACGAACUACUGCGAAAGCAUUUACCAAGGAUGUUUUCA